RNAcentral lists this ribosomal RNA (478 nucleotides) under uncultured bacterium. RNAcentral's name for it is "partial 16S ribosomal RNA". It matches the Rfam family "Bacterial small subunit ribosomal RNA", at positions 28 to 523 of the family's 1533-position model. The record is from RNAcentral.
GACGAACGCUGGCGGCGUGCUUAACACAUGCAAGUCGAACGGUAAGGCCCUUCGGGGUACACGAGUGGCGAACGGGUGAGUAACACGUGGGUGAUCUGCCCUGCACUUCGGGAUAAGCCUGGGAAACUGGGUCUAAUACCGGAUAGGACUCCGGACUGCAUGGUCUGGGGUGGAAAGCUUUUGCGGUGUGGGCGGGGCCCGCGGCCUCUCAGAUUGUUGGGGGGGUGAUGGCCUACCAAGGCGCCGACGGGUAGCCGGCCUGAGAGGGUGGCCGGCGACUCUGGGACUGAGCUACGGCCCAGACUCCGACGGGAGGCAGCAGUGGGGAAUAUUGCACAAUGGGCGCAAGCCUGAUGCAGCGACGCCGCGUGAGGGAUGACGGCCUUCGGGUUGUAAACCUCUUUCAGCAUCGACGAAGCGAAAGUGACGGUAGGUGCAGAAGAAGGACCGGCCAACUACGUGCCAGCAGCCGCAGUAA